This 23-nucleotide non-coding RNA is filed under the name Arabidopsis thaliana (thale cress). Lineage: Eukaryota; Viridiplantae; Streptophyta; Magnoliopsida; Brassicales; Brassicaceae. The record is from RNAcentral.
CGACAUGCCUAAAAUGACUCGGU